GGCAUGGCAGCAAAGAGGACUGGCGAUGGUCUCGUAAACCAAAAAUCUUGGGCUCAAUCCCUAUCCAUGCCU
Molecule: transfer RNA, 72 nt
Filed under: Oryzias latipes (Japanese medaka)
Lineage: Eukaryota; Metazoa; Chordata; Actinopteri; Beloniformes; Adrianichthyidae
Rfam family: tRNA
About the family: Transfer RNA (tRNA) molecules are approximately 80 nucleotides in length. Their secondary structure includes four short double-helical elements and three loops (D, anti-codon, and T loops).
Source: Rfam by way of RNAcentral